This 101-nucleotide transfer RNA is filed under the name Cordyceps militaris CM01. It matches the Rfam family "tRNA". Rfam says of the family: Transfer RNA (tRNA) molecules are approximately 80 nucleotides in length. Their secondary structure includes four short double-helical elements and three loops (D, anti-codon, and T loops). Further hydrogen bonds mediate the characteristic L-shaped molecular structure. tRNAs have two regions of fundamental functional importance: the anti-codon, which is responsible for specific mRNA codon recognition, and the 3' end, to which the tRNAs corresponding amino acid is attached (by aminoacyl-tRNA synthetases). tRNAs cope with the degeneracy of the genetic code in two manners: having more than one tRNA (with a specific anti-codon) for a particular amino acid; and 'wobble' base-pairing, i.e. permitting non-standard base-pairing at the 3rd anti-codon position. Lineage: Eukaryota; Fungi; Ascomycota; Sordariomycetes; Hypocreales; Cordycipitaceae. The record is from Rfam by way of RNAcentral.
GCUCGGAUAACUCAGUGGUAGAGUACGGGAUUGCAGUGAGGUGUUUACACAUUCACCAGCGAAAUAUCCUGAAGUCGCUGGUUCGAUCCCGGCUUCGAGCU